This 69-nucleotide transfer RNA is filed under the name Ictidomys tridecemlineatus (thirteen-lined ground squirrel). RNAcentral describes it as "Spermophilus tridecemlineatus (thirteen-lined ground squirrel) tRNA". It matches the Rfam family "tRNA". From Rfam's summary of the family: Transfer RNA (tRNA) molecules are approximately 80 nucleotides in length. Lineage: Eukaryota; Metazoa; Chordata; Mammalia; Rodentia; Sciuridae. The record is from Rfam by way of RNAcentral.
GGGGUUGUGGCUCAGCAGUAGAGUACUUGCCUAGUAUGUGCAAGACACUAGGUUCAAUCCUCAGCACCA